AAAGAAGAAGGAAAAGGCGUGUGCAACAGGGCUCCUCCUCCGUGCCAUCUGACCCACUGAUUUAUCAAGCGUUCACCACCCUCAUCGGCGCCCCCUCCCUUCACAGAGCGAGUCAGCAUCUCUAACUCUGGCUAACCUGAUUUGGCCACGUCUCAUGCCCUGCCUCCUGUCAGUACCUGACCCCAGAGAAAAAAGGGUUGCUGACCUUGGGGAGCCUACAAUCCUCUAAGAAAACAGCU
This 239-nucleotide long non-coding RNA is filed under the name Ailuropoda melanoleuca (giant panda). RNAcentral's name for it is "lncRNA (ENSAMEG00000025979.1)". The record is from RNAcentral. Lineage: Eukaryota; Metazoa; Chordata; Mammalia; Carnivora; Ursidae.